UGGGCUUUUCCUCCAUUUUUCCUGAUAACCCCCUACAGAAAUAGACAAACAGCAAAACUCGUGGAAUUCUGUCAGAUAAAACCCUAAGUCUGGGUGUUGGUUGCAUAUAAGUCCUUUUUCAUGAUUAGUUGACGGUUAAAUGUGAGCAUUAAGGACCGUCAACAAGCUCCCCCAAGCUUAACCUUUGCUCGUUCCUGAGCAAAGCUAAAAUCAGUAAGAAAACAGAGGUUACUUUUAUGCGUCUUGCUACAGGGUUUUUUAAGUUAUCACUAAGGUCUUAAGUGAUUGAAAAACAGAACGAUCAAGUCAAGCACUAUGUCUCAGGUUCUUCUGUCUUACCUUUGUUCUGGAGUUUUUUAUAAGUUUCCUAAAAUAAAACUGAAGCAUUUGCCUUCUUCUCGAAAGAUAUAUAAGUAGAGCUUUAAAAGUUUUUAGCAUACUUACUUUGCAUUUUGCUAUGUGAAUGCUCGGAGCAAGGGAGAGGAAUGUCAUACUCCUAGAUCAAGACCUUUGACCUUUUUGAAAAGUUUUUCACCUCAUACUGGCAUAUUGCUUAUUAAAGGGACCAUGGGCUAUAAUUUUUUUUCUUUCUUUUUUUUCAGUCUCUCUCUCUUUUUUUUCAAGUGGGCACCAAGUACCCCCAAUUCUACUAUCGGACACGUGUCUGUUGACAUUCGUUAAGUGCAAUAAGAAUAAGAAAAAUUCCGCGAGCGCACAGAACAUCAUCGUAGCAUUUUACCGGGAGUAUUCCAGGUAUCGUUAUUUAUAUUUUACCACUGGGAAGCUAAGGUCAAAGAAUCUGAUAACUUACUAUCAUGCCUCUACUAAUUUAAUAAACCAACUAGACUAAAGUAGGGGUAAAUGAUAUAUGAUAGGUAAUAAUAUAAAGAUGAGAAUUCUAUGAUAAAUGCGUAGAUACCCAUAGCGGGAGGACAACGGGAGAGACCUAGGUUCCUGUAUACUUCUCUAUAACUUCAGUUAUAUGAUAACAAAGAAUGAAUAGAUAUAGCAAUCACAUACUAGCACUUUGGGACAUCAGAACACCAACCACAGAAAGAGAACUGGAAGGGGGCUGGGAAGCUCUGACUACGGUCCUACAAACACCGAUCCGAACGAGGUGGAAUACGUCGACCGUUAGGGCUGUCACUACCCUAGGUCUACCACAACAAUCCGCAGGACUGGAUGCAACCUCAGGUAACCUCUAGUAUAGACACCAUGUCUACACUAACGAUUACUACUCUAAUUACCAUGAAUAACUAGAGCACUCGAUGCGAACGAAGAUCCUAUGCCAAAAUAUAACAACUACACUACUCGAUAAUAAUAAAGGCGUAAAAGUAAAUAGAGAAAAUAAAUAUAUUAAAGCAUAAGUCUUACAAUAAAGACAUACCAAAACUCUGAAGACUUCUCCAGAACCGAAGCACAGCUCUGCUCUCCCUAACUCCCAACUAGGACUAAUCUACUACAUUAGAAUGUCUAGCCCU
This 1481-nucleotide long non-coding RNA is filed under the name Sorghum bicolor (sorghum). Its description in RNAcentral is "long non-coding RNA (SBIC_LNC012935)". The record is from RNAcentral. Lineage: Eukaryota; Viridiplantae; Streptophyta; Magnoliopsida; Poales; Poaceae.